RNAcentral lists this ribosomal RNA (443 nucleotides) under uncultured bacterium. RNAcentral's name for it is "partial 16S ribosomal RNA". It matches the Rfam family "Bacterial small subunit ribosomal RNA", at positions 338 to 795 of the family's 1533-position model. The record is from RNAcentral.
CCUACGGGAGGCAGCAGUGGGGAAUAUUGGGCAAUGGGCGCAAGCCUGACCCAGCAACGCCGCGUGAAGGAAGAAGGCUUUCGGGUUGUAAACUUCUUUUCUCAGGGACGAAGCAAGUGACGGUACCUGAGGAAUAAGCCACGGCUAACUACGUGCCAGCAGCCGCGGGAAUACGUAGGUGGCAAGCGUUAUCCGGGUUUACUGGGGGUAAAGGGCGGGUAGGGGGGAAAGCAAGUCAGAUGUGAAAACCAUGGGCUCAACCUGUGGCCUGCAUUUGAAACUGUUUUUCUUGAGUGCAGGAGAGGCAGACGGAAUGCCAAGUGUAGCGGUGAAAUGCGUAGAUAUUAGGAGGAACACCAGUGGCGAAGGCGGUCUGCUGGACAGCAACUGACGCUGAGGCGCGAAAGCGUGGGGAGCAAACAGGAUUAGAUACCCGGGUAGUC